This 153-nucleotide unclassified non-coding RNA is filed under the name uncultured Dothideomycetes. Its description in RNAcentral is "sequence contains ITS2". Lineage: Eukaryota; Fungi; Ascomycota; Dothideomycetes. The record is from RNAcentral.
GUACUCUCAAGCAUUGCUUGGUGUUGGGUGUUUGUCCUAACAAUAGUUGGGACUCGCCUUAAAACAAUUGGCAGCCAGUGUAUUAGACUUGGAGCGCAGCACAAUUUGCGUCUUCUUGCGAAUAAACUGGCAACCAUCAAGCCUAUUUUUCAC